Molecule: long non-coding RNA, 1845 nt
Organism: Hemicordylus capensis (graceful crag lizard)
Lineage: Eukaryota; Metazoa; Chordata; Lepidosauria; Squamata; Cordylidae
Exons: 4
Source: RefSeq, a predicted model, not a curated record
UCUCUUUGGGAUCAGGAAGAAAAGGGAGUAAAAUCCCUCCCAUCUCUGCACCCACAGGGCAAUGGCCCCUUUGGCUAAAAGCUCCUCACUUUUAUUUAUUUAUUUUUACAUUUAUAUCCCGCUCUUCCUCCAAGGAGCCCAGAGCGGUGUACUACAUACUUGAGUUUCUCUUUCACAACCACCCUGUGAAGUAGGUUAGGCUGAGAGAGAAGUGACUGGCCCAGAGUCACCCAGCUAGUUUCAUGGCUGAAUGGGGAUUUGAACUCGGGUCUCCCCGGUCCUAGUCCAGCACUCUAACCACUACACCACACUGGCUCUCCUCCAAUAAUAAUUCACACUUCCUCCAAUAAUGCUUGGGAGGGUUGAGUGAACCUCAUCCCUGUAAAUCUUGUUCUGAACUCUAUGGCAUAGCCUGAAAAUACGAUCUUUGGGACCCAGCAGUCCAAUGUUAUGUGAUGCCAUGAAGGAGCACGGUGUGCCAGCUCGAUGUUGGUCUCUGGUAGGAGAAUAGAGUUCGUGAGACUGGUGUUGUCCUUCACUUGCCAAGAUGUUGUGGCCCCCUGUGGCGGGAAAAGGGAGGAGUGUAGUGGUGACAGUGGGUGGAUCUGAACCUCAAAGACGUUUCUGAGGCUCAGUCUGUUCCCCUUGCCUUGAAAAGGGUGUUUGUAGUAAGGUUGGUACUGCUUUCACUCCUGCUGCCUGAAUGUGGACUUCUGUUUUGAAUAAGGAUGGUAUUUGGAGCCAUAGGAAGAGGUAGAUGUUGAUGCGGUGAACGUUUUGGUGGUGAAUUUAGAUUUUUUCAUUUUCUCCAUCGUGGAGUCGGUGUCCUCACUGAAAAGGCCCUUACCAUUGAACGGUAAGCCCUCAAUUAUCUCUUUCAUAUCGCCCUGCAGGUUGGUGCAGCAAAGCCAGGCAUGCCUCCGCAGGGAAACUGAGCUGCCAAGGAGUGCGAUUCAGACUCGGCCAGGUAUUUGGCAGUGCUCAACUUCUGACGGGAGUAGCAUGCCGGUGACCAGACUUAGAGGACGAUGAAGUAGCACAGUUGAUGACUAGGGAGUUAGGCGCAGGAAAGCUAACAUCUGGUAACAUCCAAAUUGGACUACUGCAAUGCGCUCUACAUGGGGCUGGCCUUGAAGACUGUUCGGAAGCUUCAGCUGGUUCAGAAUGCUCCCGCAAGGAUGCUCGUGGGUGGGAGACGUGGGUUGUAGGAGGCACUGCAACUGGAGGAUCCACUCUGUUGUCUGGGUCAUCUGAAUUGGACUCGAAGUCAGAAGAGCCACGGUGAUCAAAAGAUACUCAUAAAGAAGAACUUUAACUGACGAGGAGCAACAGCCCGAGGAUUGAACACAACAGCGGUUAGAGAAGAACUGAAGAACAGGUGCUCGGCCCGCCCUUAAAUAGCACACUGAAGGUGUGGGGGUGAGAUUUGGUCACCUUGACGAGAUGCAGCAUUCUACCAUGAGGAUCCUGUGCAGGUGCAUUACCCCCAUUCUUAUGGACGACGACGGAUCUCAAUCCAGAUCUGCAUGUUAUUUGCUUGAGUAGGAUGGUUCAAAAUCGCAGCCAAGAACCAAAAGCUGAAUGUGUCACAGUUAUUUGGCCCAGAAAAUCUCAGAUGAUAUUAGUAGAGAGGGACAGCUAAUAUUUUGCUGUCCAUUCCCAACCUGUGGAGAGAUACUGGUGGAGGUGGUGGGUCAAGUAAAAGAUUGGAUAACUAUUUUUGAUCACCCCUUUCCUAUGAAGUCAGAUACUAGACAUGUCUCACAGACUUCCAGCAGCUGCAAAGAUUAUUGCCAAUUUGACAAUUGUAUAUUUACAUGACUUGCUUGCAGAGAGGCAAACAGA